Long non-coding RNA from Ipomoea triloba (trilobed morning glory), 779 nucleotides. RefSeq lists it as uncharacterized. The record is from RefSeq and is a predicted model, not a curated record. The transcript has 2 exons. Lineage: Eukaryota; Viridiplantae; Streptophyta; Magnoliopsida; Solanales; Convolvulaceae.
UGCCCACUGCCCACUAAUAUUAGUAACCAAAGAAGUGGCAGUCUGGCAGUUUAUAACCCAAAUCCAUAGGAAGACAAAUAGUCGCAGAUGGAGAAAACCAAAGAAAAUGGAGAAGAAAGAAGAAGAGGAAAGAAGAAGAAAGAAGGACGACUCAGGCGGUGGGAGGGCGACGGUGACGGCGAUGGGCGAUGGCUGUGGGAGGGCGAUGGCGAUGGCUGUGGGAGACAUUAGUCGACGCACUAGAUCUGAAAUCCUUUCUUCUUCUCUCUUCUUAUUAGUUAAAGCCAAAAUUCCAUGUAAAAAUGGAGAACAUCUACAAGGAUGAAUGCAGGUAUUAUUUACAUGCCAUUUAACUAUAUUUGCUAAUUGGUUAAUAUACUACUCUCCAUCUUGUCAACCAAAACGGGGAAGAAAAGGAAAAUGUAAUUUUACCUGUACAGAGAGAUGGCGAAAGCUAGGAUAGAACCGAAUCUUACAGUACUCGUUAAAGAACAAAGUGAGAAUCAUGAGCGGUAUUGUGGCAAAGGAAGCUGAAGGCUUCGAUUUGAGUCCAAAAAGACCGAUCAUAGUAAUUUGCAUGAUGACGAGUGCAACAAUAAUGUAGUGAUGAAUGCAUGGCCAGAACUGUCCGUGUGUUUCAUAUGAAGUUAUAUACACGUCUUCAAUCUGUAUCACACAUACCACCAUCUAUUUAUCACAUUCGUUGCUGCUUGUAGAAGCAUUACCGUUGAACAAAAAGUUCAUAUCAAAGUAUUUGUAAUCACGGGAUGCUUAGGGCA